GAUCCUGGCUCAGGAUGAACGCUAGCGGCAGGCCUAACACAUGCAAGUCGAGGAGCAUCGGGAUUGAAGCUUGNUUCAAUUGCCGGCGACCGGCGCACGGGUGCGUAACGCGUAUGUAACCUACCUAUAACAGGGGCAUAACACUGAGAAAUUGGUACUAAUUCCCCAUAAUAUUCGGAGAGGCAUCUCUCCGGGUUGAAAACUCCGGUGGUUAUAGAUGGACAUGCGUUGUAUUAG
Molecule: ribosomal RNA, 237 nt
Filed under: uncultured bacterium
Lineage: Bacteria
Description: partial 16S ribosomal RNA
Rfam family: Bacterial small subunit ribosomal RNA
Source: RNAcentral